Molecule: ribosomal RNA, 63 nt
Filed under: Flavobacterium columnare
Lineage: Bacteria; Pseudomonadati; Bacteroidota; Flavobacteriia; Flavobacteriales; Flavobacteriaceae
Description: partial 16S ribosomal RNA
Rfam family: Bacterial small subunit ribosomal RNA
Source: RNAcentral
AUACGAUGAAGAGUUUGAUCCUGGCUCAGGAUGAACGCUAGCGGCAGGCUUAACACAUGCAAG